Neoarius graeffei (lesser salmon catfish) is the source of this 545-nucleotide long non-coding RNA. RefSeq lists it as uncharacterized. The transcript is spliced from 2 exons. NCBI's taxonomy places the organism in Eukaryota, Metazoa, Chordata, Actinopteri, Siluriformes, Ariidae. The record is from RefSeq and is a predicted model, not a curated record.
AGACCACUGAGAGGAUGAGCCAAGUGGAGAGAGAAAUCCAGCGGCUCACCGAUUCCCUGAACAGGAGAAAUGGAAGGGAUGCUGCAGUUAUUAGUCAUGUGCAAGAGAAGCUCUCGGCAUCUCGUAAGCUGCUGCAGCAGCUGAAGGCUCAGGAGCAGUCUAUCCAGAAGGCUCAGAAGAAAGCAGAUACGCAUAAGAAAAUGACUGAAUUUUGACGCAUGCCUUCUUGCAUAUGGGAGUGUAAAUAAUGACCUGUCGUCUUUGUACUGAUGUUAUUAGCGCUCGUGUUUACGCCGAAAGCAGUGAUUAAUUUGGAACUUUUGUUUUAGCAGAACACCUUCUUGUCAUAUUUUACAAAAUGGUAAAAUGCUUCAUGUAAUUUGUUCUGUACUUUUUAAAAACACACUUUUGUCCUUUUAUGUUCCACUUUUAUUUUGAGAAUAUUUCCUCGCGUCUGUAAAUUCUUUUCACCACUCGGGAAAUCAGUAAGAGAAAAGACGGUAGAUGAAUCACGAUCGUUGCUUUGAAUUAAAUUUUUGAACGUC